CGAUACCGUUGCGAUUCUAUGAAUGAUCCCUAUGUACUGUGACACAACCACGAUAUAACCGACAGCACAUUGGAAGCCACAACAUCAACAUUAUGGCAAAGAACUGGUCGAAGUCUUGACUAGAAAUUGCAAGAGGAAAAGUGACAGCUGCUGUGUCUUGUUUGUAAAACAAAAAGCGAUCGAAUACUGGAGAUACUGAAGAUAGCCCACCAGCUGGAACUGCCUCAGAUGAGUAAAGCACUGAAGCUCGAAGACAGUGGCUCUGAAAAGCCGUGUUGAAGUUUUACAAGUUGCAGAUAAUAAAUUUAUGACCAAUAUUUUAUGAUUUGGACAGUUUUGGAUUAUGAAUUUUGCAGAUAGGGCUGAAACUUUUCAACUUAUCAUAAUACGAGGUAUAAGUAUGUCUGGCGUUGAGAAGGAAAGAAGAAGCGCUGUAUCGUGUCGCUACCUUUUACCACGCUUUUAGAAAAUGACUUCAACAAAAAGCCCUAAAACUGCCAACUGUUAAAACAAAUUGAAUAUUCUGUGCGAUGCAUGAUUUGCUGUACUAAAAAUUUUGUUGAAAGAAGAGUAUGGGUGUUGUUUUCAUUAUUCUUGGAUACAUUUUAAGAAAUAAUGGGAAAUA
Molecule: long non-coding RNA, 625 nt
Filed under: Helicoverpa zea (corn earworm)
Lineage: Eukaryota; Metazoa; Arthropoda; Insecta; Lepidoptera; Noctuidae
Description: uncharacterized LOC124637642
Source: RNAcentral